Molecule: ribosomal RNA, 78 nt
Filed under: Escherichia coli O111:H8 str. F6627
Lineage: Bacteria; Pseudomonadati; Pseudomonadota; Gammaproteobacteria; Enterobacterales; Enterobacteriaceae
Description: partial 16S ribosomal RNA
Rfam family: Bacterial small subunit ribosomal RNA
Source: RNAcentral
UUAAAUUGAAGAGUUUGAUCAUGGCUCAGAUUGAACGCUGGCGGCAGGGCUAACACAUGCAAGUCGAACGGUAACAGG